CCUGAGGGGUUUUAUUCGUGAGGAAGCUGUGGCUGGGGAAAAGCUUCUUUUGUACUGGACCUCAGGAAUCUUCAUAAAAGAAAAAGCGAGGUCAAAGGAGUCUGCCUUACAUUAGAAGAGGAAAAGAACACCACCAGAUACUUCUAAAUUGUUGAAGUGUUUAUCUCUUGCUGACUGCUGUUUAUUUCUGACACAG
Long non-coding RNA from Dromaius novaehollandiae (emu), 196 nucleotides. RefSeq lists it as uncharacterized. Lineage: Eukaryota; Metazoa; Chordata; Aves; Casuariiformes; Dromaiidae. The transcript is spliced from 3 exons. The record is from RefSeq and is a predicted model, not a curated record.